CCCCUGUUGCAAUGGUUAGAAAGGUGGGUUUACUUUUUCUCCCUGUCUGCACUGCACAUUUUUGGAGGAGCCGAUUGAGAUCGAUCUCAGCCAAUCCAAAUGCUUUCCCACAGGAAGCCUUGGGAGGCUUGUACACAUUCGUGGUAAAACACAGAGCUGCUCCGGUUAUAUGAUCUCUCUGAGAUCAUCUGAUGGAAACAGUUUUGUCCUCUUUCAUCAGAAGCACAUCUAGUGGAUGUCUGAGUGACAGCCAUUAGAGGCAUUUAAAC
This is a non-coding RNA of Pelobates cultripes (western spadefoot toad), 269 nucleotides long. Lineage: Eukaryota; Metazoa; Chordata; Amphibia; Anura; Pelobatidae. The record is from the annotation of a GenBank genome assembly.